This 253-nucleotide ribosomal RNA is filed under the name uncultured bacterium. Its description in RNAcentral is "partial 16S ribosomal RNA". It matches the Rfam family "Bacterial small subunit ribosomal RNA", at positions 524 to 776 of the family's 1533-position model. The record is from RNAcentral.
GACAGAGGGUGCAAACGUUGUUCGGAUUUACUGGGCGUAAAGCGCGUGUAGGCGGCUUGGCAAGUCGGAUGUGAAAGCCCACGGCUCAACCGUGGAAGCGCAUCCGAAACGGCCUCGCUCGAGUCUCGGAGAGGAAGGUGGAAUGCUUGGUGUAGAGGUGAAAUUCGUAGAUAUCAAGCAGAACACCUGCGGCGAAGGCGGCCUUCUGGACGAUGACUGACGCGGAGACGCGAAAGCGUGGGGAGCAAACAGG